CGGAAUGUCGUACAGGGGUAGUAUACCCGCUUUGGGAGCGGGGGGUCGCAGGUUCGAAUCCUGUCAUUCCGA
Molecule: transfer RNA, 72 nt
Filed under: Hazenia capsulata
Lineage: Eukaryota; Viridiplantae; Chlorophyta; Ulvophyceae; Ulotrichales; Hazeniaceae
Description: tRNA-Pro
Rfam family: tRNA
About the family: Transfer RNA (tRNA) molecules are approximately 80 nucleotides in length. Their secondary structure includes four short double-helical elements and three loops (D, anti-codon, and T loops).
Source: RNAcentral